RNAcentral lists this small RNA (86 nucleotides) under Mytilus galloprovincialis (Mediterranean mussel). The record is from RNAcentral. Lineage: Eukaryota; Metazoa; Mollusca; Bivalvia; Mytilida; Mytilidae.
CUUACAUAAUAAUCCGGUCAUUUGAAUGGCAUGCUAUUCAAAUGACCGGAUUACAUGCUAUUCAAAUGACCGGAUUAUUAUGUAAG